ACGUAUGGGCGAGCCUGAUGCAGCGACGCCGCGUGAGGGAUGACGGCCUUCGGGUUGUAAACCUCUUUCAGUAGGGAAGAAGCGAAAGUGACGGUACCUGCAGAAGAAGCGCCGGCUAACUACGUGCCAGCAGCCGCGGUAAUACGUAGGGCGCAAGCGUUAUCCGGAAUUAUUGGGCGUAAAGAGCUCGUAGGCGGUUUGUCGCGUCUGCUGUGAAAGACCGGGGCUCAACUCCGGUUCUGCAGUGGGUACGGGCAGACUAGAGUGCAGUAGGGGAGACUGGAAUUCCUGGUGUAGCGGUGAAAUGCGCAGAUAUCAGGAGGAACACCGAUGGCGAAGGCAGGUCUCUGGGCUGUAACUGACGCUGAGGAGCGAAAGCAUGGGGAGCGAACAGGAUUAGAUACCCUGGUAGUCCAUGCCGUAAACGUUGGGCACUAGGUGUGGGGGACAUUCCACGUUUUCCGCGCCGUAGCUAACGCAUUAAGUGCCCCGCCUGGGGAGUACGGCCGCAAGGCUAAAACUCAAAGGAAAUUGACGGA
Molecule: ribosomal RNA, 539 nt
Filed under: Paenarthrobacter aurescens
Lineage: Bacteria; Bacillati; Actinomycetota; Actinomycetes; Micrococcales; Micrococcaceae
Description: bacterial SSU rRNA
Rfam family: Bacterial small subunit ribosomal RNA
Source: RNAcentral